UACGUAGGGGGCUAGCGUUGUCCGGAAUCAUUGGGCGUAAAGCGCGCGUAGGCGGUCCGGUAAGUCCGCUGUGAAAGUCGGGGGCUCAACCCUCGAAUGCCGGUGGAUACUGUCGGGCUUGAGUACGGAAGAGGCGAGUGGAAUUCCUGGUGUAGCGGUGAAAUGCGCAGAUAUCAGGAGGAACACCCGUGGCGAAGGCGGCUCUCUGGGUCGGACCUGACGCUGAGGCGCGAAAGCGUGGGGAGCGAACGGG
This 253-nucleotide ribosomal RNA is filed under the name uncultured bacterium. RNAcentral's name for it is "partial 16S ribosomal RNA". It matches the Rfam family "Bacterial small subunit ribosomal RNA", at positions 524 to 776 of the family's 1533-position model. The record is from RNAcentral.